Molecule: ribosomal RNA, 253 nt
Filed under: uncultured bacterium
Lineage: Bacteria
Description: partial 16S ribosomal RNA
Rfam family: Bacterial small subunit ribosomal RNA
Source: RNAcentral
GACAGAGGGUGCAAACGUUGUUCGGAAUUACUGGGCGUAAAGCGCGUGUAGGCGGCUAUGCAAGUCGGAUGUGAAAGCCCUCGGCUCAACCGGGGAAGUGCACCCGAAACUGCAAAGCUAGAGUCUCGGAGAGGAUCGUGGAAUUCUCGGUGUAGAGGUGAAAUGCGUAGAUAUCUGAAGGAACAUCAGUGGCGAAAGCGACUUCCUGGACCAAUACUGACGCUCAUGUGCGAAAGCGUGGGGAGCAAACAGG